RNAcentral lists this RNase P RNA (371 nucleotides) under Gammaproteobacteria bacterium. RNAcentral describes it as "RNase P RNA component class A". It matches the Rfam family "Bacterial RNase P class A". Rfam says of the family: Ribonuclease P (RNase P) is a ubiquitous endoribonuclease, found in archaea, bacteria and eukarya as well as chloroplasts and mitochondria. Its best characterised activity is the generation of mature 5'-ends of tRNAs by cleaving the 5'-leader elements of precursor-tRNAs. Lineage: Bacteria; Pseudomonadati; Pseudomonadota; Gammaproteobacteria. The record is from RNAcentral.
CGAGUCGGCUGGACAGUCGCGGGGGCCUUGGGGGUAUAUCCUCUGGAGCCUUCGAGGAAAGUCCGGGCUCCAUAGGGCAGAGUGCCAGGUAACGCCUGGGGGGCGCGAGCCCACGGAAAGUGCCACAGAAAAUAUACCGCCUACGUCGUGCGCUUCGCGCCGGCCGGUAAGGGUGAAAUGGUGCGGUAAGAGCGCACCGCGCGUCUGGCAACAGACGUGGCAGGGUAAACCCCACUCGGAGCAAGACCAAAUAGGGGAGCACUGGCGCGGCCCGCGUUGCUCCCGGGUAGGUCGCUUGAGGUGCGUGGCGACGCGCAUCCCAGAUGAAUGACUGUCCACGACAGAACCCGGCUUACAGGCUGACUCACUAA